UAAAGGACACUGCAGAAUAGAACCUAGAGCAAAAGAAACCCAAGUUGAUGUUAACCAUGGAUCUCCCUGUCCGGAUGCUCAGCAAAAUCAUGUUGUUUAUGCACCAUUAAACAUUCCAGGGGACAGUGGAAAAUCAAGAAAAGAGAACUGUCCGGCUAUGGCACUUACUUCAGCGACAUGCACAGAGGAUUCAGUGACAUACUCUGAGGUCCACUUAAAGAAAGGACCAAAGGAUGAAGGUUAAGCAUUACUUGCAUGAAUUUAAUUUUUUCACCUUGCAUAUAAGAUGGGAUGCCAUUGACUCUUUUAAUGGCACUUCAAGCUUCUGGUCCUGUUUGGUUUUGUGAAGGUUUUUCUGCAAAUACAUUUAUAUAGU
This is a long non-coding RNA of Carassius auratus (goldfish), 376 nucleotides long. RefSeq lists it as uncharacterized. The record is from RefSeq and is a predicted model, not a curated record. NCBI's taxonomy places the organism in Eukaryota, Metazoa, Chordata, Actinopteri, Cypriniformes, Cyprinidae. The transcript has 3 exons.